CUUGCAGACAUAUUGGAACUCUCCGAUAUCCUACCAAGGCAACAACCCAGUUCAAACUACAGGAUGGAUGGAAUGUCAAAUCUGCGUUUAUUGCCGGAGUAGGAAAACUGCCAAUAAGAAUCAAAUCGGUCGAUGGGGGUUUCUCACCCUAAAAACUGCCCAACGUACCCUAACCUAACCAUAAGUGGAAUCAUAUCAAUUAAAACAUUGUCUCGCACAUCUUUAAUGGGUGUCCACCCGACAGGUUGGAGGGCGUGCAACUAACUACUCACAAUUUGAUUCCAGCCAGAUAAAAUUAGCAACGGCAAAUGGCAGCCAAAGGCGAACAACCAAACAACAAAACAACCAACCACAAAGCAACGCAACUCAUAGAAGGCAACAUCAUUAUUAAGUAUUUGCUAUUGACUUCCGGUCGUUAGAUAUUUCAUUACCAACUUCAUGGGGUCGGAGAUGAAGCUGAAGUUGGGGCUUCUGUUUGCACAGAAAACCAAAAGUCAAAGAGCUUAAUUCUAUUAAAUUGCAAAUAUAGUUUGUGUCUGUUCCCAUGCUGUGUGCGAGUUCGAUAGGAAUUAAAUUGUUUAAAUAUAGUUCGAUUACAAACUGUAUUCAGCCACUGCAACGUCUUCGGUCUUCGUCUAUUUUCUACACCCUGCCCACAUUGCAAAUAAUGUUACUUCUUUUUAUCUUCAAUGUCCUUUGCAAUCCAGCUUCAGGUAGAAAUGACUUUGGCUUCGGGCUAAACAAGGCAACUUUGUGGAUUUUUCAACUAAUUUGAUUCAACUCCGAUUGAAGUUGAUUGCAACAGCUUUUUAGUUUAAUAAGUCGAACCAAGAAUAGUCGCUGACAAUCGAAUGUUGUGCAUUUAAUGCUUAAACCGUAAAUUAUGUCAAUAAUGGGGCGACAUAAAAAAGUUUAUGUAAAUACGAAGUCAAACUGAGGCAAAAUGUGACAAGUUCUUGGAAAAGUUGUGAACAUUAAAAAUAAAUUU
Molecule: long non-coding RNA, 988 nt
Organism: Drosophila grimshawi
Lineage: Eukaryota; Metazoa; Arthropoda; Insecta; Diptera; Drosophilidae
Exons: 3
Source: RefSeq, a predicted model, not a curated record